AAUAGAUACCCUGGUAGUCCAUGCCGUAAACGUUGGGCACUAGGUGUGGGGCUCAUUCCACGAGUUCCGUGCCGCAGCAAACGCAUUAAGUGCCCCGCCUGGGGAGUACGGCCGCAAGGCUAAAACUCAAAGAAAUUGACGGGGGCCCGCACAAGCGGCGGAGCAUGCGGAUUAAUUCGAUGCAACGCGAAGAACCUUACCAAGGCUUGACAUACACCGGAAACUUCCAGAGAUGGUUGCCCCGCAAGGUCGGUGUACAGGUGGUGCAUGGUUGUCGUCAGCUCGUGUCGUGAGAUGUUGGGUUAAGUCCCGCAACGAGCGCAACCCUGUCCUAUGUUGCCAGCGGGUCAUGCCGGGGACUCAUAGGAGACUGCCGGGGUCAACUCGGAGGAAGGUGGGGAUGACGUCAAAUCAUCAUGCCCCUUAUGUCUUGGGCUUCACGCAUGCUACAAUGGCCGGUACAAAGGGCUGCGAUACCGCGAGGUGGAGCGAAUCCCGAAAAAGCCGGUCUCAGUUCGGAUUGGGGUCUGCAACUCCG
RNAcentral lists this ribosomal RNA (538 nucleotides) under uncultured bacterium. Its description in RNAcentral is "bacterial SSU rRNA". It matches the Rfam family "Bacterial small subunit ribosomal RNA", at positions 777 to 1314 of the family's 1533-position model. The record is from RNAcentral.